CCUACGGGUGACUGCAGUGGGGAAUAUUGCACAAUGGGGGAAACCCUGAUGCAGCGACGCCGCGUGAGCGAUGAAGCAUUUCGGUAUGUAAAGCUCUAUCAGCAGGGAAGAAAAUGACGGUACCUGCUCAAGAAGCCCCGGCUAAAUACGUGCCAGCAGCCGCGGUAAUACGUAGGGGGCAAGCGUUAUCCGGAUUUACUGGGUGUAAAGGGAGCGUAGGCGGCGGUGCAAGUCAGAUGUGAAACCCCGGGGCUCAACCCCGGGACUGCAUUUGAAACUGUAUUGCUGGAGUGCCGGAGAGGCAGGCGGAAUUCCUAGUGUAGCGGUGAAAUGCGUAGAUAGUAGGAGGAACACCAGUGGCGAAGGCGGCCUGCUGGACGGUAACUGACGUUGAGGCUCGAAAGCGUGGGGAGCAAACAGGAUUAGAUACCCUUGUAGUC
RNAcentral lists this ribosomal RNA (440 nucleotides) under uncultured bacterium. Its description in RNAcentral is "partial 16S ribosomal RNA". It matches the Rfam family "Bacterial small subunit ribosomal RNA", at positions 338 to 795 of the family's 1533-position model. The record is from RNAcentral.